AAAGUCGUAACAAGGUUUCCGUAGGUGAACCUGCGGAAGGAUCAUUACCGAAUGAAUGGCCUGCACCCCGCUGUGUGCGUGGGUGCUCGUUGUUGCCUCUUGAUCUUGAUCUUGGUGCUCGCCAGUCACUCUCUCCGGGCCACGUGUUGUGGACUCUCUCUCUCUCAGAGCCACAUGUUGUGUGGGGUCUCCGAGCCACACGUUGUGUGGAGUAUCCCAGACACAACCUUGUGUGGACUCUCCCAGACACAACCUUUGUGUGGACCGGAGCCACACCUUGUGUGGAGUCUCCCAGGACGCAACGUUGUGUGGACUCUGCGAGCCACAUGUUGUGGACCUGCAUGAGAUUGUUGGGGGGUGCCCUCUUCAAGAUGUCACACACAAACUUGUCUUUGUAUGGUAUUGAACUUUGAACAUAUAAUAUAACUUUCAACAACGGAUCUCUUGGCUCUC
Molecule: unclassified non-coding RNA, 453 nt
Filed under: Basidiomycota sp.
Lineage: Eukaryota; Fungi; Basidiomycota
Description: partial contains small subunit ribosomal RNA, internal transcribed spacer 1, and 5.8S ribosomal RNA
Rfam family: Eukaryotic small subunit ribosomal RNA (bases 1-47)
Source: RNAcentral